GACGUUGUGAGAAGUCCACUGAACCUUAUCAUUUAGAGGAAGGAGAAGUCGUAACAAGGUUUCCGUAGGUGAACCUGCGGAAGGAUCAUUGUCGAUGCCUCACAAUCAGUUCAACUCGCGAACCUGUUUAACCGCAUAGGGUUGGUUGGAUGUCUAACAUCUUAGCUUCCCUUGUGUUGUGGGCGGGCUUGUGCUCUGCACGGCCUCCUUCGACAAAACACAAACCCCGGYGCAACAUGCGUCAAGGAACCUGGAAUUGUUUGAUGCGCCUGCAGACCCCGGAGACGGUGUUUGUAGGUGACGUCGUUCAACAUGUAUCAAAAUGACUCUCGGCAACGGAUAUCUCGGCUCUUGCAUCGAUGAAGAACGUAGCAAAAUGCGAUACUUGGUGUGAAUUGCAGAAUCCCGUGAACCAUCGAGUCUUUGAACGCAAGUUGCGCCUGAAACCAUUAGGUUGAGGGCACGUCUGCCUGGGUGUCACACAAUGUUGCCCGACGCCAACGCCGUUCCACGAUCGGUGUUUGAGCGGGGCGAAAGUUGGCUUCCCACGAGCUCUGUCCCGUGGUUGGUUGAAAAACGAGUCCUCGGUGGAAUGCUCCAUGAGAAAUGGUGGUUGAGUCAUGCUCGAGACCAAACAUGCGCGGCUUCCCCUUAAGGUGGACCUCCGACCCCUUGCGUCCUAACACGACGCUCACAACGAGACCUCAGGUCAGGCGGGACUACCCGCUGAGUUUAAGCAUAUCAAUAAGCGGAGGAAAAGAAACUAACAAGGAUUCCCCUAGUAACGGCGAGCG
RNAcentral lists this ribosomal RNA (794 nucleotides) under Galactia texana. Its description in RNAcentral is "eukaryotic LSU rRNA". The record is from RNAcentral. Lineage: Eukaryota; Viridiplantae; Streptophyta; Magnoliopsida; Fabales; Fabaceae.